RNAcentral lists this small nuclear RNA (352 nucleotides) under Chinchilla lanigera (long-tailed chinchilla). RNAcentral describes it as "7SK RNA (ENSCLAG00000021868.1)". The stretch from base 1 to 281 matches the Rfam family "7SK RNA". Rfam says of the family: 7SK was discovered as an abundant small nuclear RNA in the mid-70s but a possible function has only recently been suggested. The record is from RNAcentral. Lineage: Eukaryota; Metazoa; Chordata; Mammalia; Rodentia; Chinchillidae.
GGAUGCUAGGGUGAUCUGGCUGCAACAUGUCACCCCACCGAUCGCCAGGGUUGAUCUGGCUGAUCUGGCUCGCUAGGCAAGUGUCCCCUUCCUCCCUCAACACUGCAUGUAUGUUGUGUUCCUCCCGAAACUGUGCUGGAUUGACCAGGAUGACUGUCCUGAUAGAGGAGGGACUCUUCCUCUGUCAAGAGUGUAUGAAUAGCUGCGCUCCCCUGCUAGAACCUCCUAACAAGCUUUCAAAAAAAAAGGUUAGGGACAUAGCUCAGUGUUCAACCCCCAGUACCACAAAAACAAAUAAACAAAUGAAAAACAAAAGGGCUGGGGAUAUAGCUCAGUGAGAGAGAUUUUAUCU